Molecule: long non-coding RNA, 713 nt
Organism: Macrobrachium nipponense
Lineage: Eukaryota; Metazoa; Arthropoda; Malacostraca; Decapoda; Palaemonidae
Exons: 2
Source: RefSeq, a predicted model, not a curated record
ACUAGACGUCGUAUAAGCCUCAAAGGAGACCAAGAAUCGAGGUGUUCCCUGGUACGACUUAACACACAGCAACAUACCUACCAACAUGAACGUUGUCGCAACAAUCACUGCCAUUGUAGUGGCUCUCUUCGCUGUCCUCGGCUCCAGCGGAGCCAUGCCGGAUCCACGAGCCUCCCCUGAACCUGUUCCCGGUCCCUCGUUCGGGUUCGGUGGCUACGGCUACGGCUACAGGCCAGUUUUCUACAGGCCCAUCGUCAGUUACGGUUACGGAGGCUACGGCUGGUAGUCACCGUUCCUCGUAGCGAACGUACUUCUCCUGGCAUCGUCUCCUAUACCCUGUAUUCGUCUUCUAAAUCUUGUAUCAUCUCUAACUUCGUGUAUUGUCUACUACUUAUUGUGUCGUCUCCUACAUCCUGUAUCGUCUUCCAAAUCUUGUAUCGCCUCCUAUCAUCUCGCUAAUCUUGUAUCGUCUCCCUAAGCUUGUAUCAUCUCCCAAAUCUUGUAUCUUCUCCUAAACCUUGUAUCAUCACCUAAAUCCUGUAUCGUCUUCCUAAUCUUGUAUCGUCUCCUGAUUCUUGUGUCGUCUCCUGAAUCUUGUAUCGUCUCCUAUAUCUUGUAUCAUCAAAGGUGAUCUACCUGUGAGGCUGAACGAUGCGGCCUUUUAAGACAUCCCUUUAGCCGUUUGUAUUCGGUAAUAAAAUUUACUGACGAUG